This 1325-nucleotide ribosomal RNA is filed under the name metagenome. RNAcentral's name for it is "bacterial LSU rRNA". It matches the Rfam family "Bacterial large subunit ribosomal RNA", at positions 1489 to 2795 of the family's 2925-position model. The record is from RNAcentral.
UACCAGCGAUUGGUUGUGCUGGGGAAAGGUUGUAGGCAUGUGUCUUAGGCAAAUCCGGGACACUCUAUGCUGAGAACUGAGACGAACCUGUACUUGUACGGGGAAGUGAUAGAUGCCAUGCUUCCAAGAAAAGCUCCUAAGCUCCAGUCAGUAAGGGAUCGUACCCGAAACCGACACAGGUGGUCAGGUCGAGAAGACCAAGGCGCUUGAGAGAACUCUGGUGAAGGAACUAGGCAAAAUAGUACCGUAACUUCGGGAGAAGGUACGCUGUUGAGGGUUAAGGAUUCACUCCGUAAGCCUUCGGCAGCCUCAGAAACUAGGCCGCUGCAACUGUUUAUUAAAAACAUAGCACUCUGCAAACACGAAAGUGGACGUAUAGGGUGUGAUGCCUGCCCGGUGCUGGAAGGUUAAUUGAUGGGGUUAGCUAACGCGAAGCUCUCGAUCGAAGCCCCAGUAAACGGCGGCCGUAACAAUAACGGUCCUAAGGUAGCGAAAUUCCUUGUCGGGUAAGUUCCGACCUGCACGAAUGGCAUAAUGAUGGCGGCGCUGUCUCCACAGAGACUCAGUGAAAUCGAAAUCGCGGUGAAGAUGCCGUGUACCCGCGGCUAGACGGAAAGACCCCGUGAACCUUUACUGCAGCUUUGCACUGAACUUUGAUCUUACCUGUGUAGGAUAGGUGGGAGGCUUUGAAGCUCGGACGCUAGUUCGAGUGGAGCCAUCCUUGAAAUACCACCCUGGUAAUAUUGAGGUUCUAACCCAGGUCCGUUAUCCGGAUCGGGGACAGUGUAUGGUGGGUAGUUUGACUGGGGCGGUCUCCUCCCAAAGAGUAACGGAGGAGUACGAAGGUGCGCUCAGCGUGGUCGGAAAUCACGCGUAGAGUAUAAAGGCAAAAGCGCGCUUAACUGCGAGACCGACAAGUCGAGCAGGUACGAAAGUAGGUCUUAGUGAUCCCGUGGUUCUGUAUGGAAGGGCCAUCGCUCAACGGAUAAAAGGUACUCUGGGGAUAACAGGCUAAUUCCUCCCAAGAGUUCAUAUCGACGGGGGAGUUUGGCACCUCGAUGUCGGCUCAUCACAUCCUGGGGCUGUAGUCGGUCCCAAGGGUAUGGCUGUUCGCCAUUUAAAGUGGUACGCGAGCUGGGUUUAAAACGUCGUGAGACAGUUUGGUCCCUAUCUGCCGUGGGCGCUGGAAAUUUGAAGGGGGCUGCUCCUAGUACGAGAGGACCGGAGUGGACGAACCUUUGGUGUACCGGUUAUGACGCCAGUCGUAUCGCCGGGUAGCUAAGUUCGGAAGAGAUAAACGCUGAAAGCAUCUAAGCGUGAAACUC